Molecule: non-coding RNA, 441 nt
Filed under: Agrilus planipennis (emerald ash borer)
Lineage: Eukaryota; Metazoa; Arthropoda; Insecta; Coleoptera; Buprestidae
Description: Eukaryotic large subunit ribosomal RNA
Rfam family: Eukaryotic large subunit ribosomal RNA
Source: Rfam by way of RNAcentral
AAGAGAAGUCAAUAAAUUGGAUUGGCUCUGUAGAUCGGGACGUGUCCGGCUUGGUCGGGAAGCGGGUCUAGGCUGACGUGCCGGGUCUGGGCGAGAUGAUGGCGCGAGCUUCGUGCCCCUGUCGGACCCGAAGUCGGUCCCGUGUCUUGGCCACCCGCGGAAAUUCUUUGCUGUAAGCGUCGAUCUGCAGCUCGCGUCGUGGCCGGUUGUCCCCUUCGGCCGCCAUUUAAUGGUCCACUCAGAAAUGAUACGGACUAGGAGAAUCUGAAUGUCUAAUUAAAACAUUGCUAUGACCCCAGAGGGUAUUGACACAAUGUGAUUUCCACCCAGUGUCCUGAAUGUCAACGUGAAGAAAUUGAAGAAAGCGCGGGUAAACGGUGAGAGUAACUAUGAUUCUCUUUCGGGGGAGCCAUAAAAAUGCCACACAGACUCUCUCCUCGU